RNAcentral lists this ribosomal RNA (234 nucleotides) under Triticum aestivum (bread wheat). RNAcentral describes it as "partial small subunit ribosomal RNA". The record is from RNAcentral. Lineage: Eukaryota; Viridiplantae; Streptophyta; Magnoliopsida; Poales; Poaceae.
AUGCGCAAGGGAGGAAACGGUUUCUACUUCAUCAAUAAGGAGACAAGCGCUGAUUCAAUCAGGGAAAACAAUUCCAAAAAUUCUCAUCGGAUGGCUGAUACAGCAAGAAUAACUAAAACAGAGACAUCAAAGUUGAAGAACGUCAUUUCAGCAUCAUUCAAACCCUUGUCUCUUACCAUUCCCAUAGGAGACGGAUUUCACGAAUCGUUCCAUUCGAGCCAUUGCUAUUUAUAG